Molecule: ribosomal RNA, 207 nt
Filed under: uncultured bacterium
Lineage: Bacteria
Description: partial 16S ribosomal RNA
Rfam family: Bacterial small subunit ribosomal RNA
Source: RNAcentral
CGUGUAGGCGGGCAAUCGAGUCAGAUGUAAAAGGCGACGGCUUAACCGUAGUAUGUCAUCUGAUACUGGUUGUCUUGAGUUCGAGAGAGGGUGGUGGAAUUCCCGGUGUAGCGGUGAAAUGCGUAGAUAUCGGGAAGAACACCAGAAGCGAAGGCGGCCACCUGGAUCGAUACUGACGCUGAGACGCGAAAGCGUGGGUAGCAAACA